UUUUUUUUUUUUCUUUCUUUUUUUGGGGGUCACCCCAAGGCCCUAAGGAGUUCCAGAGCCAGGGAUCUGAUCCGAGCUGCAGCAGCAACCUAUACCACAGCUACAGCAAUGCCAUAUCCUUAAUCCACUAUGCCAGGCCAGUAAUCGAGCCUAAGUCUCAGUGCUUCAGAGACACCACUGAUGCCACUGUGCCACAGUGGGAACUCCUCUCUUUUCAUUUAAGGACUCAAAUUUUCCAAAUACCUUAGCCAAAUAUUGACAAAAUUUCUCUGUGUUAUCAGGAACAACUUUCUAUAUCUUUUUCUACUCAAUUCAGAAUCAUUUCUGGCCAAAAAAUAAAAGAGUAUUAGAUAUCAUCUCUUUUAGAAGUAUGUUUUGUAGUUUCCAUUUCACAAUAAAAGUCUUACACAAAUUACCUUCCUUUGCAGUGCCAAGAACGACACAAUGCAAAAAAAAGGUCUAUUACAUGUAUGUCCUGACCUAUCACAUAUUAACUUGUAGAAAGGGUAAAGGCUCAAAGCUGCAUCAUAUUCUGGUGUGCACUGGCUUGAGUGUGCUGAACCAUGGUGCUUAGGAGUGGACCCAUUAGACUGAGAGCACAUCAGAUGCCAUACAGUACCCAGCUGGUACUUUAAAACUGAUUAUUAUUAGGCUUGAUAAUAAUAAAUAUGAAUAGCCAUUCAUUGAAAGAGAGGUCACUAAAUUUCUAGGUGGCUUCAUUCAUUGCUUUCAAAUAAGAAUCUGUCAACAUUUCCAUCGAACACAUCUAUUUCUAGAAUGUUACAGCCACAAAACUUAUUUUGGAAUAGAAGCAGCAUUAAAAAUGUCUAUCAAAGACUAUUUCUUCAUAAAGUUAAAAAUAAGUUCCAUUCAGCUCUAUGAAUCUGAAAUACUUAGAAUACCAUAUGUAUUUCAAUAACAUAUCUGUUUACUUCUGAAAUGGCUAUUCAUGUACCAUCUCAGGGCACAACUAAAUAUGACUCAAUGACAUAAAACUAAGGUACAAUACUGAGAUAAAUAGAUUUUUAUUUUCUUGUAGAAAAUAAGUAAAGUUUCCUAAUGACAAAAAUAUAAAAGGUCAGAUUUUAAAAUACUUAAGGCAGGAGUUCCCAUCAAGGCUUAGAGGUAGCUAACCCAACUAGUAUCCAGGAGGAUGCAGGUUUGAUCCUUGGCCUUGCUCAGUGGGUUAAGGAUCCGGCAUUGCCAUGAGCUGUGGUGGGGUGGUAGAUGCAGCUCGGAUCCCAUGUUACUGUGAUCUGGCAUUACUGUGGCUGUGGCAUGGGCAGCAGCUAUAGCUCCGAUUCAACCCUUAGCCUGAGAAUUUCCAUGCGCCACAGGUGUGACCCUAAAAAGACCAAAAAAAAAGAAAAAUGAAUGCAUAUAACAGAGUAGUUCACUACUGGCAAAACCAAAUUGUCUUGUUUAAAGGUCAGGUUUCACUGAGAGGGUUAACAACCAAAGUUAAUCUUUUAAAAAAUAAUUGGAAUUUUUAAUAGCAAGAAUCAUUUAUAAUACAGCUUUAUAGAUUGUUUUUCAAAUAUUUUCAAAGUCAUUCUUUUUGUCUUCAUCCACAUGUAUGGUAUCAAACUUUCCCUCCCUCAUUUCCAUUUGUUAAAUAAAACUGCUCUUAAUUAAAGUCAAGAAAAAGACGUCAGUAAUUCCAGUCACUUAUAAUAAGGAUACGCAACAAAAAAAAUUACAUAUUCUUUCAAUUUAAAACUGAAAAAAAAAAAAUGCCUACUGACAUUAUUUUCUUUAGCAUGUGGUUCUCAGUGUCUAAUGUAACACCACCAGGUUCAUGGGCAUCAAUUUUAGCACAGGAAAUAAUGUACACACCCAGGCUCUAGUUCAAGUUCUUCUUCUAAUACUGCAUUCUAUUUCUGCUCCUGGGUCUCACCCAACAUUAACACCUUAAAAUUUCCUUGGUAAUUAUUGAAAACUACCUGUGAAGCCCCCUUCACUUUCGGAAUGCAUUUACCAGGCAGUUAGUAAGUGCUCUGUAUUUACCAAAUACUGCAUCUAAGGUCAAGAUUUAAAAGACAAACAAAAAUUUUCCUAUCUUUGACCUCAUGAAGCCUGGAAUCUAGCAGAGAAAAGAAACAUCAUGCAAAUAAUGACAUGAAUAUUUAUAUACAGUCAUGCUGCCUGUUUCCAAAAAAAAAAAAAAUUAAUGAGAAAUGGAAAUGUAUAACCAGGAAAGCUUUCUCUGAGUAAGAGACAUUAAAACUGAGGGAUUCCUGAUAACCAAGGGCAAGACAAGUGAAGGGGAAGGGAAAUAGAGGAGAAGUGGUUCAGUCAUAAGGAAUGAGAUGUAUGAACCCAAGGAGAGAGGAGGGGCCUGGGGUCUUUAAGGAACUGAAGGGCAACUAUCAGAGCCAGAGUAAGGAAAAGAGCCAAGUUGUUCUGAGGAGAUUAGUUAGAUUGUGGAGGGCCUUCCUUGCAGAUUAUCAUCAGUGUCACGGAUUGCAUACUUCAUCCUAGGUGCAAAGAGAAGUAUAACAUCUUCAAUGGAAAGUUAGAAGUCAAAGGAGUGCCAGUGAUGCAGUCUGUACCUUCUGAGAUACAGAGCAGUGCAGAGAAUGGACAGGGGCCUGAGGAGAAUAAACGACAGAAGACAUCACUGAAGGGUUUUACACAUGGGUGUGAUUUGAUGAGACCUGCGUCGGCACAAAAUUCUCUGAUGGCUAAGUAGAGAAUGGAUGAGGAUAUGUGCAGUACAAGAAAAACUGAUGAUAUCUAGGACUGUGAGGCUAACAGUGGAGAAGUAAACAGAUGAGAGAUACCAUUCGAAAACACAAUGGACAAGACAUGGUGGUUUAUAAAGCACAGAGAGGACAGAAAGAGGGCGGAGUUGAAAAUGACUUCUCAAUCUCUGAAAUAAGCAAGGGCAACACUGAAUCACCCAGAUCAUGUGCUAGCUGCGUUGUCAAAGGAGAAACAAAGGCAGUCUUUACUGACCUUGAAACUUGAUUUUUUUCCAAGGGCUUUAAUGAAAUCAAACUAAAAACUAAGACACCUCAUUUAAUUUCUAGACAAAUGAUGUUAAAAUGUAUACAUUCUUGCUCACUUCACAUCUCUGCAUCACAUUUUGUAAUCUUUAUAACUCUUCAAACUUUCUCAUUAUUAUAUUUAUCAUAGUGAUCUGUGGUCAGUGAUCUUUGAUUUUACCAUUGCGAAAAAGAUUACAACUUGCUGAAGGCCCAGAUGAGGGUUAGCAUUUUUUAACAAUAAAGUAUUUUUAAUUAAAAAAUAUAUAUAAUAAAAUGUAUACAUUCAAAUAGCAGUAUAAAUUUAAAUUCAAACCCUAAAGGAAAACUUUGAGAAGUGGAUACCUUUUGGCUCAAUACCGUGUUUAUAACAAUAAAUACACCUUCAUUAUAGUGUGCUUUAUAGAUUACUCUCAUCACCUGGACUGCUUGCUCUCAUCCAAGCCACUGUCAUCUCACCCCUGAAAUCAUAUAAUUUACUAUUUAUUAGGCUUAUUUUUCAUCCUUCAUCUCUACGCACUGGAAUGUGAGCUCCAAGGGAUCAGGAACUUUGUCCACUUGUGCUAGAUUAGUGCCCCAUCUAAAGUAGGUGCUCAAUACAUUUGUAGAACAAACGAAUGGAGGAAGGACAGGGUAGUAUUUGAUUGAAUCAUGUCCCAAGCCUUGUAGCUAAUAUGGGAAUAAUCACCUCCAUUUUGUCAAUAAGGAAACAGAACUUUUGAGACUGCAAACAAUUUUCCUAUGUAGCAAAUAUACUAAGCCAGAACUUAAAUCCAGACUUCCUGAGAAUAAGUUUAGUAAAUCAAUUUUUCAUUAAUGCUUCCUAGUAGUCAUCACCCUUUUAAUGCUUCUACACAUGCACCCACACGCACACUCACAAACAUUCCCCAUAAAAAUUGUUAGCUUAAACAGAGGCUGGUUUUUCCCUUCUAAAAGUAAUAUUUGCUUAGGUGACAGGCGUAGAAGUAUACCCAAUGAUUUUCCUCUCCCUGAUAAUAGCUAAGACAUCAGAAAAAUAAAAAUAAUUUAUUUCUCCCUUCAUUAGCCAAAUUUUUAUAUAUGGUUAUAAAGUUAGGCAAGUACAAUACAAAACAAACAAGACACGUAGCAAUAAGUAAAAGUACACUAUAUCAUGGUGACUAUGCCUUAGUUAUAGAAAAUGGUCUGAAACUGCUGAUGUUGCAAUUCAUCAUAAGAAUUCAAUUAAAAAAUUGAGGAGGGUGCAGGAACCUUCUUGGCAUCUGUAGCCACAACAUGCAAAUUAGUCUUGUAAGAGCCUAAGAAGAAAACAAAUCUAAUAACUAUUAUGCUUAGCAGAAUGGGGGCAAAAGGAGCUACAGAUACCAAGUAUGAGAGAAAAUAAUUAUAUUAAUCAAUAAUAUAAGUCCCGUAAAUAUUUUUUUCCUUUUAAAGGCAGAAAGUUGCUUUCUUUCAUUUCUCUGUUCAUAAAAAUUUGUAAAUUUUUCUUAUUAAUAAGAAAACUCAAUUCCAUCAUCCAGAGGAAACCAUUUACCAUCUUAGAUGAUCAGAUUAUUUUUCUAGACAUAUAUACCUUUUAAUUAGUUCAUUUUAUACAUGUUUUAUAUACCUUUUUCAAUUAGCCACAUAUCAUAGACACCUUUAGGUAAAUAAAAACAUAGUUCUAUAUCCACAUUUUAAUGUCUGAAUAAUUCUUCAUAAUGUAGAUAUAACAUAAUUCAUUUAUAUAAUUCCUUAGAGUUGUAUAUUUAAGUUGCCUAGUAUAUGCUUCCUUUCAUAAGAACUAUGCAAUGGAUAUUUCUGCACAUGUGAUUGAGUACAUGUGGCAUUUUCAUCUCAAAAAAAUCUAAGAAGUGGAACUGCUAGAUUAAAGGGGAAGGGUAUUUCUAUACCUUUUAAUAGACAUUUCCCAACUAUCCUCUAGAAAGGUGGUUCCAAGUUUAUACUCAUAUCAAUGAUAUAUAAGAAGAGUCAUUUCCUGACACCAAGUGUUACUGUUUUCAUCUUCACUUAUUUAAAAGGUUAAAACCAGUCUCUGAAAGACAUCUUAUGGGCAUUUUUAUGACAAAAUUUCACAAGCUAUUGUAAUGAUCAUAUUUUUUUAUAUAACAUCCUAUUUCUAUGUUCCAAAUCCACAGAAGCAUAAUCACUGGCAGCAGGUCCCAGGACUUUGCAUUUUUAAUAUACUCCAAGAGAUGGUUUUCAUGAACACUCACAUCUAAGAAUCACUAGCCCAUAUGUUAACUGUUUAUAGCGCUGAAUAGCUUACAAAAAGUUUGGCUUACUUUGUUUCACUAGAUCUACCCAGUAAGCAAGUGGCAAAGGAAGAUCAGAGAUACUUCCAGAAUUUUUAAAAUAAAAAGAUUCAUGGAGUUCCCAUCGCAGUGCAGCAGAAACAAAUCUGACUAAGAACCAUGAGGUUGUGGGUUUGAUCCCUGGCCUCACUCAGUGGUUAAGGAUCUGGCAUUGUCAUGAGCUGCGAUGUAGGUCACAGAUGUGACUCAGAUCUGGCAUUGCUGUGGCUGUGCCACAGGCCAGAAGCUGUAGCUCCAAUUUGACCUCUGGUAACCUCCAUAUGCUGCGGGUGCAGUCCUAAAAAGCAAAAAAAAAAAAAAAAAAA
Molecule: long non-coding RNA, 5586 nt
Filed under: Sus scrofa (pig)
Lineage: Eukaryota; Metazoa; Chordata; Mammalia; Artiodactyla; Suidae
Description: lncRNA (ENSSSCG00015005464.1)
Source: RNAcentral